UCUACACCUCUCUAUUCGUCGGCAGCGUCAGAUGUGUAUAAGAGACAGCUGUAGUUAUAUACCGAAACUAAAAAAUAAAAGGUAUUAUUAAAGAAGAGUUUUUAAUAAUAUUAUGUUGGUAGCAGAACGGGAAAUAGUAAAAUUAUGAAGAAAAAUCGUUAGAUUUUUUAUAGAAUUUUUUUUGAGAAUGUUGACAUGAGUAACGAAUUAAUAAUGAAACUUUGUAAAAAUAUCAUUAUCGCCGAAAAUUCAAGGUUUUCAAUGUAUAAAGGUUAACUUCAUUGAGUAAUACGGUCUCUAAGUUAAAAAUUGAAAAAUUUUGAUGAUGAGUGAUUUUGUUAAUAUUCAGAUUAUUAGUUAAGUGAAGAUUUUCAUGGCGUUGUUGUUUGAUUUAAAUGGCUUAUUAAACGAAAUAACCAUAUUAUCCAAGAAAUAUCUGACUAAAUGUAACCGUACUUAAACCGACACAGGUGAAUAGGUAGAGAAUACUAAGGCGAUUGGAAGAACAAUUUUGAAGGAACUCGGCAAAAUGAUUCCGUAACUUCGGGAGAAGGGAUACUCACAUUAAAAGUUUAUUUUGCUAAAAAAUUUAAAAUGUGAAUGUUUAGUGUAACAGAAUAGGGGUAGCGACUGUUUAAUAAAAACACAGGACUUUGCAAAAUAUUAUUAUGAUGUAUAAGGUCUGACGCCUGCCCAGUGAUGAGUAAUGAAAAAAAGAGGUGUUUAAUUAUGCUUUGAUUAUAAGUCUCAUUAAACGGCGGCUGUAACCCUGACGGUCCUAAGGUAGCGAAAUUCCUUGUCAAUUAAUUGUUGACCCGCAUGAAUGGCGUAACGACUUCCCCACUGUCUCCAAAAUUGAUCCAGUGAAAUUGCAUUUUACGUGAAGAUGCGUAAUAUUUAUAGCGGGACGGAAAGACCCUGUGCACCUUUACUAUAACUUUACAUUGAAAAAAAUAAGCUUAUAUAAAGAAUAGUUCUGAGUCUAUGAUCUAUUAAUUCCGGUUUUUAAGGGAGACGUCAGUGAGAUAUGAAUUAUAAGAAUAUUGAUUUCUAAUUUUUGAGAAAGACAAUGUAUGGUGGGUAGUUUAGCUGGGGCGGUUUCCUCCUAAAGAGUAACAGAGAGUACAAAGGUAAUUUCAAUCUAAUUUCUAUUAGAAAAAUGAGUGUAAUGGCAUAAAAUUGCUUAACUGUUAGAUUUACAUAUCAAACAGAGACAUUAUGUCGUCAUAGUGAUCCGGUGAUACUGAAUGGAAAGGUCAUCGAUUAACGGAUAAAAGGUACGCCAGGGAUAACAGGCUAAUUGUCCUUGAGAGCCAUAUCGACGGGAUAGUUUGGCACCUCGAUGUCGACUUAUCAGAUCCUGGUGUAGUAGGGGAUACCAAGGGUUCGGCUGUUCGCCGAUUAAAGUGGUACAUGAGUUGGGUUUAGAACGUCGUGAGACAGUUUGUCCCUAUCUACUAUAAAUGAAAGAAAAUUGUUAAACGCUGACUUUCGUACGAGAGGAGCAAGGAGGAAAGACCUAUUGUGAAUUUGUUGUCUUAACCAAAGGCAUUGCAGAGAAGCUACGUCUUAUUUUUAGAACUACUGAAUACAUUUUAAGUGGGAAAAUUAUUUCAAAAGCAUUUUCUAAACCAAGUUGAAGAUUACGACUAAAAUUAAUGAUUUAUAAAUUUUUAAAUGAUUUUAUAAUUAAUUUGAAUUAAUUUGAAUUAAUUUGAAUAA
This 1722-nucleotide ribosomal RNA is filed under the name seawater metagenome. RNAcentral's name for it is "bacterial LSU rRNA". It matches the Rfam family "Bacterial large subunit ribosomal RNA", at positions 1134 to 2925 of the family's 2925-position model. The record is from RNAcentral.